GAGUCUAACAUGUGCGCGAGUCAUUGGGACACGCAAGCCUAAAGGCGAAAUGAAAGUAAAGGUCAGCCUUGCGCCGACCGAGGGAGGAUGGGCCGCGUCACGAUGCGGCCCCGCACUCCCGGGGCGUCUCGUUCUCAUUACGAGGAGAGGCGCACCCAGAGCGUACACGUUGGGACCCGAAAGAUGGUGAACUAUGCCUGGUCAGGACGAAGUCAGGGGAAACCCUGAUGGAGGUCCGUAGCGAUUCUGACGUGCAAAUCGAUCGUCGGAACUGGGUAUAGGGGCGAAAGACUAAUCGAACCAUCUAGUAGCUGGUUCCCUCCGAAGUUUCCCUCAGGAUAGCUGGCACUCGCGUACAAAAGUUACACGAGUCUCAUCCGGUAAAGCGAAUGAUUAGAGGCCUUGGGGCCGAAACGACCUCAACCUAUUCUCAAACUUUAAAUGGGUGAGAUCUCUGGCUUGCUUGAACUAUGAAGCCACGAGAUUUCGGAU
This 492-nucleotide ribosomal RNA is filed under the name Aneugmenus japonicus. RNAcentral describes it as "eukaryotic LSU rRNA". It matches the Rfam family "Eukaryotic large subunit ribosomal RNA", at positions 671 to 1113 of the family's 3401-position model. Lineage: Eukaryota; Metazoa; Arthropoda; Insecta; Hymenoptera; Tenthredinidae. The record is from RNAcentral.